CAGAUUCAGAUGGAAUCUUCCAAGCAUCGGUCUUUCCACCAAGCAAAACAUCCUUAGUUGCUGCAGCAAAACCAAACACAAGAAAAAGGAGCAAAAGAGAUGAAGAAGAUGAAACAGCCAUUGUUUUUUUUUUUUUGCAAAAAUUAAUAAAAGAAGUUUUUGUUUUGUAACAGAUGCAGAAAAUGAGGUUGGUUUAGGAAUGUGAAGAGUGUGAGUUUUGGAGUGUUGUAUUUAUGGAGUGGUAAUGAGAAACUAGCCGUUGUUUGAUGGUUGGGAUUUGUGAAAGAACGUUCUAGAUUUACUAUGGUGUGGGGUCCACUGUGUAUUGUUUUCUUGUGCAUUGGUUGGGAAUAAGGAAGUAACGGUCAAAAAAUUGUGGUCUUCAUAAUACUGGCUA
Molecule: long non-coding RNA, 397 nt
Organism: Trifolium pratense (red clover)
Lineage: Eukaryota; Viridiplantae; Streptophyta; Magnoliopsida; Fabales; Fabaceae
Exons: 2
Source: RefSeq, a predicted model, not a curated record